Molecule: ribosomal RNA, 439 nt
Filed under: uncultured bacterium
Lineage: Bacteria
Description: partial 16S ribosomal RNA
Rfam family: Bacterial small subunit ribosomal RNA
Source: RNAcentral
CCACGGGGCGCUCCAGUGAGGAAUAUUGCACAAUGGGGGGAACCCUGAUGCAGCAACGCCGCGUGGAGGAUGACGCAUUUCGGUGUGUAAACUCCUUUUAUAUGUCAAGAAAAUGACGGUAGCAUAUGAAUAAGCACCGGCUAACUCCGUGCCAGCAGCCGCGGUAAUACGGAGGGUGCAAGCGUUACUCGGAAUCACUGGGCGUAAAGGACGCGUAGGCGGGUUGGAAAGUCAGGUGUGAAAUCCUACAGCUUAACUGUAGAACUGCACUUGAAACUUCUAACCUAGAGUAUGGGAGGGGGAGAUGGAAUUAGUGGUGUAGGGGUAAAAUCCGUAGAUAUCACUAGGAAUACCUAAAGCGAAGGCGAUCUCCUGGAACAUUACUGACGCUAAGGCGUGAAAGCGUGGGGAGCAAACAGGAUUAGAUACCCCGGUAGUC